RNAcentral lists this long non-coding RNA (1616 nucleotides) under Homo sapiens (human). Its description in RNAcentral is "HSALNT0091066". Lineage: Eukaryota; Metazoa; Chordata; Mammalia; Primates; Hominidae. The record is from RNAcentral.
GAAGGAGGAGGAGGAGGAGGAGGAGAAAGUGGCUCUCAGCGGCCGGUCGGAUUAAAAGUAACCAGACUCGUCCAGAAAACUGCGUCCAGGAAGGAAGUGACAGAAGACGAAUGGGAAAAGGAGAACAGCUCACAGCGUUUGAAACAUCGCGGCACCACUUUCAGAUAAAAACAUAGACCUGAAUGGCAUCAUCCAGUAUCCAAGGAAACCAUUGUGUCUGUAACCAGCUAAUGAGCUGCAACAGAGCCUGGCCUUCAUUUUCAGCAAAUUAAGUUCAUCCCUCAUAGGAAUUGUGGUCUGGCUGUGGCACCGCUCCUAGACAUGACAAACUCCAAAAGGAAACCCAAGCAGCUAUUUGGCUCCCUUAAUUAAUGAAGUCGCCCAGUAUGGAUAAUUCAGGUUCUCUAAACAUGAAUAUGCCUUUGGGGGAAGACAGAAGAACAUGGAAGCCAUGUGAAAAAAACGGAUCCUAAGGCAGUUUUGAACAUCUGGAGGCCUGAUUUAUUGGAGAUUGCAAAUGUACAGUGUAACAUAGCUGUGGAGAGAUCUCACAUGAGAUGGCAAAGAGGUCAAGACAAAAAUUCUGCAUUUGGGAAAAGAAUAACACAUGGACUUCCUCCUACAGGAUUAUAGGACUGUGUAUGUCCUACACACACAUUAUAUGUCCUACACGCACAGUGAUGAGGAGUGACAAAAUGAAGACUCCAGAAUCCUCUUUAUCAGAUCCUGAAUGUGCACUUUCUGAAGUGAAGUCCACUAUGUGCUGGGCACACAGAGAAUAGAGCAUGAAACAAAAGCAACAUGACCCUGCCCUCACCAAGACUACAGGGAGUGAUGGAGCAUACAACUUUGUUUCAGAAUGCAAUUCAGAUCUUCCCUUUCGCUUGGCUUCUUAAAACUUCUUUUGAGGAUGGUAAAAUUUCGUGUUAUAUUAAAUUUCAUCCUGUAACUGAUACUCUGGGAUGAUGUUGGCCAAUAACUAGCAAGACUUUAAAUAAUCAACUAGUUUAGGCAUUGCUUAGCACGCUCCAGCUGACUUCACAAGUAAAACCAUGUGAAGAAAGAAGGUUUUCAGGUAACACAGAUGGAGGUGAUGAUCUUUCUCAUUUUGUGGAAAAUAUUAAUUUCUCAUUUUUUAUUCACUGACAAUUAGUAAAAUUCCUUACUCUACCUAAUAUGUAGACUUCUGAACUAUGUAAGUAAAACUUUAUAGUAACUGAAAAGUUUGGGUAUUGUAUUUUCUUGGAGAAAAUGUUAGCUUCCCUCUGUUACUUUUAAAUGUUAAACUUUUAAUGAAUUUCAUCAAUGUAUAAUAAUGGGCAUAAUGAUCCACUCUGAAAUAUUUACUGUCAUUUUGAAUUUAUUCUUGAGUCAUCACAAACGUGUACAUCUCUUAUACCUUCAUGGAUGUUAUUGGUGAGAUGAUCUCUUGUUGUCAACACCUUGAGGAUAGGGACUUAUUCAGGCUCGCCUCUAGCAAGUGCUAAGUGCCUGGGAACACAUAAUAAAUAUUUCAUGAUAGGAGGAUGUUAGAAUAAGAGGAAAAACCAGAUUCUUACCCAAAUAAAUAAUAUUUAUUAUAUUCUUAUUUGUAUAUCAUUGUAACUGUAAAAAAA